GCCUCUUGGACUGGGACAACUGUUGGAAACGACAGCUAAUACCGGAUAUUAUGAGAUUCUCGCAUGAGAAACUUAUGAAAGCUAUAUGCGCCAAGAGAGAGCCUUGCGUUCCAUUAGCUAGUUGGUGGGGUAACGGCCCACCAAGGCGACGAUGGAUAGCCGGCCUGAGAGGGUGAACGGCCACAAGGGGACUGAGACACGGCCCUUACUCCUACGGGAGGCAGCAGUGGGGAAUAUUGGACAAUGGACCAAAAGUCUGAUCCAGCAAUUCUGUGUGCACGAUGAAGGUCUUCGGAUUGUAAAGUGCUUUCAGUUGGGAAGAAGAAAGUGACGGUACCAACAGAAGAAGCGACGGCUAAAUACGUGCCAGCAGCCGCGGUAAUACGUAUGUCGCAAGCGUUAUCCGGAUUUAUUGGGCGUAAAGCGCGUCUAGGCGGAAAAAUAAGUCUGAUGUUAAAAUGCGGGGCUCAACUCCGUAUUGCGUUGGAAACUGUUUUUCUAGAGUACUGGAGAGGUGGGCGGAACUACAAGUGUAGAGGUGAAAUUCGUAGAUAUUUGUAGGAAUGCCGAUGGAGAAGUCAGCUCACUGGACAGAUACUGACGCUGAAGCGCGAAAGCGUGGGGAGCAAACAGGAUUAGAUACCCUGGUAGUCCACGCCGUAAACGAUGAUCACU
This 675-nucleotide ribosomal RNA is filed under the name uncultured bacterium. RNAcentral describes it as "bacterial SSU rRNA". It matches the Rfam family "Bacterial small subunit ribosomal RNA", at positions 128 to 817 of the family's 1533-position model. The record is from RNAcentral.